CAGUCGCCGCGGUAAUACGAAGGGUGCAAGCGUUACUCGGAAUUACUGGGCGUAAAGCGUGUGUAGGUGGUUGUUUAAGUCUGUCGUGAAAGCCCUGGGCUCAACCUGGGAAUGGCAGUGGAUACUGGCUCGCUAGAGUGUGUCAGAGGAUGGUGGAAUUCCCGGUGUAGCGGUGGAAUGCGUAGAGAUCGGGAGGAACAUCAGUGGCGAAGGCGGCCAUCUGGGACAACACUGACGCUGAGGCACGAAAGCGUGGGGAGCAAACAGGAUUAGAUACCCCCGUAGUCCCUGUCCUUAUACA
RNAcentral lists this ribosomal RNA (301 nucleotides) under uncultured bacterium. RNAcentral describes it as "partial 16S ribosomal RNA". It matches the Rfam family "Bacterial small subunit ribosomal RNA", at positions 509 to 809 of the family's 1533-position model. The record is from RNAcentral.